UACGAAGGGGGCGAGCGUUGUUCGGAAUUACUGGGCGUAAAGGGCGCGCAGGCGGCCUUAGAAGUCAGAUGUGAAAGCCCCGGGCUCAACCUGGGGAAUGGCAUUUGAUACUCUGAGGCUGGAGUACGGGAGAGGAGAGUGGAAUUCCCAGUGUAGAGGUGAAAUUCGUAGAUAUUGGGAAGAACACCGGUGGCGAAGGCGGCUCUCUGGACCGUAACUGACGCUGAGGCGCGAAAGCGUGGGGAGCAAACAGGG
Molecule: ribosomal RNA, 255 nt
Filed under: uncultured bacterium
Lineage: Bacteria
Description: partial 16S ribosomal RNA
Rfam family: Bacterial small subunit ribosomal RNA
Source: RNAcentral